Molecule: ribosomal RNA, 24 nt
Filed under: Uwebraunia dekkeri
Lineage: Eukaryota; Fungi; Ascomycota; Dothideomycetes; Mycosphaerellales; Dissoconiaceae
Description: partial 18S ribosomal RNA
Source: RNAcentral
UAGGUGGACACCCGCGAGGAUCAU